UCGAGGAUCUUUUGCAAUGCACGAAAGUGUGACAAAGCGACGCUGCGUGGAGGAUGAAGGCCUUCGGGUCGUAAACUCCUGUCAUCCGGGAACAAUGAUUUCCAUAUUAAUACUGUGGAAAGUUGAUAGUACCGGAAGAGGAAGCCACGGCUAACUCUGUGCCAGCAGCCGCGGUAAUACAGAGGUGGCGAGCGUUGUUCGGAUUUACUGGGCGUAAAGGGUGCGUAGGUGGUUCCGUGUGUCGGUUGUGAAAUCCCGCUGCUCAAUGGUGGAACGGCAAUCGAAACUGCGGAACUUGAGUGCAUGAGGGGAGAGGGGAAUUCUUGGUGUAGCGGUGAAAUGCGUUGAUAUCAAGAAGAACACCGGUGGCGAAGGCGCCUCUCUGGAAUGUUACUGACACUGAGGCACGAAAGCUGGGGGAGCAAACAGG
Molecule: ribosomal RNA, 430 nt
Filed under: uncultured bacterium
Lineage: Bacteria
Description: bacterial SSU rRNA
Rfam family: Bacterial small subunit ribosomal RNA
Source: RNAcentral